GAGUUUGAUCAUGGCUCAGAGUGAACGCUGGCGGCAGGCCUAACACAUGCAAGUCGAGCGCGUGUAGCAAUACACGAGCGGCGCACGGGUGAGUAACGCGUGGAUAUCUGCCUUUUGGUUCGGAAUAACCCCGGGAAACUGGGGCUAAUACCGAAUGGUUCCUACGGGAUAAAGAUUUAUCGCCAAAAGAUGAGUCCGCGUCCGAUUAGCUAGUUGGUGAGGUAACGGCUCACCAAGGCGACGAUCGGUAGCUGGUCUGAGAGGACGAUCAGCCACACUGGGACUGAGACACGGCCCAGACUCCUACGGGAGGCAGCAGUGGGGAAUAUUGGACAAUGGGGGCAACCCUGAUCCAGCCAUGCCGCGUGAGUGAUGAAGGCCUUCGGGUUGUAAAGC
This 396-nucleotide ribosomal RNA is filed under the name uncultured Alphaproteobacteria bacterium. Its description in RNAcentral is "bacterial SSU rRNA". It matches the Rfam family "Bacterial small subunit ribosomal RNA", at positions 9 to 431 of the family's 1533-position model. Lineage: Bacteria; Pseudomonadati; Pseudomonadota; Alphaproteobacteria. The record is from RNAcentral.